CGUAAAAAAGCUCGGCAAACUGUC
Molecule: non-coding RNA, 24 nt
Filed under: Arabidopsis thaliana (thale cress)
Lineage: Eukaryota; Viridiplantae; Streptophyta; Magnoliopsida; Brassicales; Brassicaceae
Source: RNAcentral